This 205-nucleotide microRNA precursor is filed under the name Oryza nivara. RNAcentral's name for it is "MIR812 microRNA precursor family". It matches the Rfam family "MIR812 microRNA precursor family". Lineage: Eukaryota; Viridiplantae; Streptophyta; Magnoliopsida; Poales; Poaceae. The record is from Rfam by way of RNAcentral.
AAAAAAGCAAAUCCUGAGUUUCCGUGUCCAACUUUAACUGUCUGUCUUAUAUAAAUUUUUUUUAUAAUUCGUAUUUUUAUUAUUGUUAAAUGAUAAAAUAUGAUUAAUAUUUUAUACGUGACUUGUCUUUUUAAUUUUUUUCAUAAUUUUUUCAAAUAAGACGGACGAUCAAACGUUGGGCACGGAAAUCAGGGUUUGUCUUUUU